GCUAGCUACAGGCUUAACACAUGCAAGUCGAGGGGCAGCAUGGUCUUAGCUUGCUAAGGCCGAUGGCGACCGGCGCACGGGUGAGUAACGCGUAUCCAACCUGCCUUACACUCUUGGACAGCCUUCUGAAAGGGAGAUUAAUACAGGAUGUUAUCAUGAGUAAGCAUUUUCGCAUGAUUAAAGGUUUACCGGUGUAAGAUGGGGAUGCGUUCCAUUAGAUAGUAGGCGGGGUAACGGCCCACCUAGUCUUCGAUGGAUAGGGGUUCUGAGAGGAAGGUCCCCCACAUUGGAACUGAGACACGGUCCAAACUCCUACGGGAGGCAGCAGUGAGGAAUAUUGGUCAAUGGACGAGAGUCUGAACCAGCCAAGUAGCGUGAAGGAUGAAGGUUCUAUGGAUUGUAAACUUCUUUUAUACGGGAAUAAACGGAUCCACGUGUGGAUUUUUGCAUGUACCGUAUGAAUAAGGAUCGGCUAACUCCGUGCCAGCAGCCGCGGUAAUACGGAGGAUCCGAGCGUUAUCCGGAUUUAUUGGGUUUAAAGGGAGCGUAGAUGGGUUGUUAAGUCAGUUGUGAAAGUUUGCGGCUCAACCGUAAAAUUGCAAUUGAUACUGGCAGUCUUGAGUACAGUUGAGGUAGGCGGAAUUCGUGGUGUAGCGGUGAAAUGCUUAGAUAUCACGAAGAACUCCGAUUGCGAAGGCAGCUUACUAACCUGUAACUGACAUUGAUGCUCGAAAGUGUGGGUAUCAAACAGGAUUAGAUACCCUGGUAGUCCACACGGUAAACGAUGAAUACUCGCUGUAGGCGAUAUACAGUCUGCGGCCAAGCGAAAGCAUUAAGUAUUCCACCUGGGGAGUACGCCGGCAACGGUGAAACUCAAAGGAAUUGACGGGGGCCCGCACAAGCGGAGGAACAUGUGGUUUAAUUCGAUGAUACGCGAGGAACCUUACCCGGGCUUAAAUUGCAACCGAAUAUGGCGGAAACGCUAUAGCUAGCAAUAGCGGUUGUGAAGGUGCUGCAUGGUUGUCGUCAGCUCGUGCCGUGAGGUGUCGGCUUAAGUGCCAUAACGAGCGCAACCCUUGCCGAUAGUUACUAACAGGUCGUGCUGAGGACUCUGUCAGGACUGCCAUCGUAAGAUGUGAGGAAGGUGGGGAUGACGUCAAAUCAGCACGGCCCUUACGUCCGGGGCUACACACGUGUUACAAUGGGGGGUACAGAGGGCUGCUACCACGCAAGUGGAUGCCAAUCCCAAAAACCUCUCUCAGUUCGGAUUGAAGUCUGCAACCCGACUUCAUGAAGCUGGAUUCGCUAGUAAUCGCGCAUCAGCCACGGCGCGGUGAAUACGUUCCCGGGCCUUGUACACACCGCCCGUCAAGCCAUGGGAGCCGGGGGUACCUGAAGUGCGUAACCGCAAGGAGCGCCCUAGGGUAAAACUGG
RNAcentral lists this ribosomal RNA (1434 nucleotides) under uncultured organism. RNAcentral describes it as "16S ribosomal RNA". It matches the Rfam family "Bacterial small subunit ribosomal RNA". The record is from RNAcentral.